This 439-nucleotide ribosomal RNA is filed under the name uncultured bacterium. Its description in RNAcentral is "partial 16S ribosomal RNA". It matches the Rfam family "Bacterial small subunit ribosomal RNA", at positions 339 to 795 of the family's 1533-position model. The record is from RNAcentral.
CUACGGGUGGCAGCAGUGAGGAAUAUUGCACAAUGGGGGGAACCCUGAUGCAGCAACGCCGCGUGGAGGAUGACGCAUUUCGGUGUGUAAACUCCUUUUAUAUGUCAAGAAAAUGACGGUAGCAUAUGAAUAAGCACCGGCUAACUCCGUGCCAGCAGCCGCGGUAAUACGGAGGGUGCAAGCGUUACUCGGAAUCACUGGGCGUAAAGGACGCGUAGGCGGGUUGGAAAGUCAGGUGUGAAAUCCUACAGCUUAACUGUAGAACUGCAACUGAAACUUCUAAUCUAGAGUAUGGGAGGGGGGGAUGGAAUUAGUGGUGUAGGGGUAAAAUCCGUAGAUAUCACUAGGAAUACCUAAAGCGAAGGCGAUCUCCUGGAACAUUACUGACGCUAAGGCGUGAAAGCGUGGGGAGCAAACAGGAUUAGAUACCCUAGUAGUC